AUGGAGUUUUCAAAUACUAUAACCUGUAGUCAUUACAACAAUAAGCAGAAAAUACUUCUAGUUGGAGAAGGAGACUUCUCCUUUUCUUUAUGUCUAGCCAAGGCUUUUGGUUCGGCUACUAACAUCACUGCAACUUCUCUUGAUACUCGAGAGGAGUUAGAGCAGAAGUACAAGGAUGCCAAGAAUAACGUAGAAGAGUUGGAGCGACGUGGGUGCACCGUGAUUCAUGGUGUUAAUGUUCACUCCAUGGAUAAAGAUCAUCGCGUAGUCCGGUCGAUUGUGUAUGAUAGAAUCAUAUUCAAUUUCCCUCAUGCAGGGUUUCAUUUUGGUCGCGAGACUGAUAGCUACACCAUCUUGUAUGUAAAUCUUGUUUCUUUGGUAUAUAUUUUGAUUUGUUGGUGUUCCAUUUUUGGUUUAUUAAACAAGUUUAUGCGGACGUAGGCAACACCAAGAAGUGGUGAAAGGCUUUUUCCUAAGUGCCAAAGAGUUGGUUGAUGCCAGUGGAGAGAUUCAUGUGACCCAUAAGAUAGCACAUCCAUUUACCAGUUGGAAUAUCAAGACUCUUGGUGAAGAAAAGGGUUUGAAUUGUGUCAGAGAAAAAGAAUUUUAUACGUUUCAAUAUCCAGGUUACUCCAACAAGAGGGGAAGUGGAAUUGACUGUGACUCUAGCUUCCCUGUUGGAUUAUCUUCGACUUUCAUGUUUAAGAAGAAGCCCUGGUAUGAAAGUGUGUUCUUGGGCAGGUUCAUUUGAGUUUUAUUCAUAUGUGUGGGCUAGAAACGAAGCCGAGCCUAAGAAGGCUUCUGCAUCUCUUUAAAUUUUCUGCAAUUUCAAUAAAAAAUCAUAUUAACGAAUUGUUGAUUGAUUAUUUAAUCGUGGGAAUCUAUCAAACAACUAAAAUUGAUGAGUUUCCUUCCUAGUCAUCCCUAUAUGUUUAU
Brassica napus (rape) is the source of this 936-nucleotide RNA transcript. RefSeq lists it as uncharacterized. NCBI's taxonomy places the organism in Eukaryota, Viridiplantae, Streptophyta, Magnoliopsida, Brassicales, Brassicaceae. The transcript is spliced from 2 exons. The record is from RefSeq and is a predicted model, not a curated record.